This 229-nucleotide ribosomal RNA is filed under the name uncultured bacterium. RNAcentral describes it as "partial 16S ribosomal RNA". It matches the Rfam family "Bacterial small subunit ribosomal RNA", at positions 568 to 796 of the family's 1533-position model. The record is from RNAcentral.
UCCGUAGGUGGAUCAGUCAGUCAGAGGUGAAAUCCUGCAGCUUAACUGUAGAACUGCCUUUGAUACUGUUGAUCUUGAGUCAUUAUGAAGUGGUUAGAAUGUGUAGUGUAGCGGUGAAAUGCAUAGAUAUUACACAGAAUACCGAUUGCGAAGGCAGAUCACUAAUAAUGUACUGACACUGAGGGACGAAAGCGUGGGGAGCGAACAGGAUUAGAUACCCUGGUAGUCC